GGGCUCUGACCUGAGACCUCUGGGUUCUGAGCUGUGAUAUUGUUUCUGAGCUGGGAUCUCCGGGGUCUUGGUUCAGGGUCG
Non-coding RNA from Heterocephalus glaber (naked mole-rat), 81 nucleotides. The record is from Rfam. Lineage: Eukaryota; Metazoa; Chordata; Mammalia; Rodentia; Bathyergidae.